This 428-nucleotide ribosomal RNA is filed under the name uncultured bacterium. Its description in RNAcentral is "bacterial SSU rRNA". It matches the Rfam family "Bacterial small subunit ribosomal RNA", at positions 116 to 518 of the family's 1533-position model. The record is from RNAcentral.
CGUGGGCAACCUACCCAUAAGCGGGGGGAUAACAGUUGGAAACGACUGCUAAUACCGCAUAAGCGUAUUAAGGUCACAUGACCUUAAUAGUAAAGGUGGCGAUUUUACAUUGCUAUCACUUAUGGAUGGGCCCGCGUCUGAUUAGCUAGUUGGUGGGAUAGCAGCCUACCAAGGCAACGAUCAGUAGCCGGCCUGAGAGGGUGGACGGCCACACUGGGACUGAGACACGGCCCAGACUCCUACGGGAGGCAGCAGUGGGGAAUAUUGCGCAAUGGGGGAAACCCUGACGCAGCGACGCCGCGUGAGCGAAAGGAGGCCUUAGGGUCGUAAAGCUCUGUUGUAAGGGACGAAUGUUUAUCUGGCGAACAGUCAGAUAAAGUGACGGUACCUUACCAGCAAGCCCCGGCUAACUACGUGCCAGCCGCUGC